Molecule: ribosomal RNA, 520 nt
Filed under: uncultured bacterium
Lineage: Bacteria
Description: partial 16S ribosomal RNA
Rfam family: Bacterial small subunit ribosomal RNA
Source: RNAcentral
GACGAACGCUGGCGGCGUGCCUAAUACAUGCAAGUCGAACGCACUCUCGUUUAGAUUGAAGGAGUUUGCUCCUGAUUGAUAAACAUUUGAGUGAGUGGCGGACGGGUGAGUAACACGUGGGUAACCUGCCCUAAAGUGGGGGAUAACAUUUGGAAACAGAUGCUAAUACCGCAUAAAACCUAACACCGCAUGGUGUAGGGUUGAAAGAUGGUUUCGGCUAUCACUUUAGGAUGGACCCGCGGUGCAUUAGUUAGUUGGUGAGGUAAAGGCUCACCAAGACCGUGAUGCAUAGCCGACCUGAGAGGGUAAUCGGCCACACUGGGACUGAGACACGGCCCAGACUCCUACGGGAGGCAGCAGUAGGGAAUCCUCCACAAUGGACGAAAGUCUGAUGGAGCAACGCCGCGUGAGUGAAGAAGGUUUUCGGAUCGUAAAACUCUGUUGUUGGAGAAGAAUGUAUCUGAUAGUAACUGAUCAGGUAGUGACGGUAUCCAACCAGAAAGCCACGGCUAACUACGUG